This 440-nucleotide ribosomal RNA is filed under the name uncultured bacterium. Its description in RNAcentral is "partial 16S ribosomal RNA". It matches the Rfam family "Bacterial small subunit ribosomal RNA", at positions 338 to 795 of the family's 1533-position model. The record is from RNAcentral.
CCUACGGGAGGCAGCAGUAGGGAAUAUUGCUCAAUGGGGGAAACCCUGAAGCAGCAACGCCGCGUGGAGGAUGAAUGUUUUCGGAUUGUAAACUCCUUUUUUUAGAGAAGAUAAUGACGGUAUCUAACGAAUAAGCACCGGCUAACUCCGUUCCAGCAGCCGCGGUAAUACGGCGGGUGCAAGCGUUACUCGGAAUCACUGGGCGUAAAGAGCGCGUAGGCGGGAUAGCAAGUCAGAUGUGAAAUCCUAUGGCUUAACCAUAGAACUGCAUUUGAAACUGUUAUUCUAGAGUAUGGGAGAGGUAGGUGGAAUUCGUGGUGUAGGGGUAAAAUGCGUAGAGAUCAAGAGGAAUACUCAUUGCGAAGGCGACCUGCUAGAACAUAACUGACGCUGAUGCGCGAAAGCGUGGGGAGCAAACAGGAGUAGAUACCCCUGUAGUC